Molecule: unclassified non-coding RNA, 239 nt
Filed under: Candidatus Phytoplasma phoenicium
Lineage: Bacteria; Bacillati; Mycoplasmatota; Mollicutes; Acholeplasmatales; Acholeplasmataceae
Description: partial 16S-23S ribosomal RNA intergenic spacer
Rfam family: tRNA (bases 88-161)
Source: RNAcentral
CCUCCUUUCUAAGGAAACAUAAAAGCAGAUCUUCAGUUUUGAAGACUUAGUCAAGUUUUUCUGAUUUAUUUUGUUUUUUGAUAUCCUGGGCCUAUAGCUCAGUUGGUUAGAGCACACGCCUGAUAAGCGUGAGGUCGGUGGUUCGAGUCCAUUUAGGCCCACCAAACGUCUUAAGCGUGUUAUCAAAAAAAGUUCUUUGAAAAGUAGAUAAACAAGAAAACAGCGACUUUUAUUAAAGG